RNAcentral lists this transfer RNA (76 nucleotides) under Puniceicoccaceae bacterium. Its description in RNAcentral is "tRNA-Lys". It matches the Rfam family "tRNA". Rfam says of the family: Transfer RNA (tRNA) molecules are approximately 80 nucleotides in length. Lineage: Bacteria; Pseudomonadati; Verrucomicrobiota; Opitutia; Puniceicoccales; Puniceicoccaceae. The record is from RNAcentral.
GGGGGUGUAACUCAAUUGGUAGAGUGGCGGACUCUUAAUCCGUAAGUUGGGGGUUCGAUCCCCCCCGCCCCUACCA